GCAAGUCGAACGGAGUUUUAACGGAAGUUUCGGAUGGAAGUUUAGAAACUUAGUGGCGGACGGGUGAGUAACGCGUGGGUAACCUGCCUCAUACAGGGGGAUAACAGUUAGAAAUGACUGCUAACACCGCAUAAUAUAGCGAAACCGCAUGAUUUUUGCUAUCAAAUAUUUAUAGGUAUGAGAUGGGCCCGCGUCUGAUUAGCUAGUUGGUGGGGUAAAAGCCUACCAAGGCGACGAUCAGUAGCCGGCUUGAGAGAGUGACCGGCCACAUUGGGACUGAGACACGGCCCAAACUCCUACGGGAGGCAGCAGUGGGGAAUAUUGGACAAUGGGGGAAACCCUGAUCCAGCGAACCGCCGCGUGAGUGAAGAAGUAUUUCGGUAUGUAAAGCUCUAUCAGCAGGGAAGAUAAUGACAGUACCUGACUAAGAAGCCCCGGCUAACUACGUGCCAGCCGCUGC
RNAcentral lists this ribosomal RNA (460 nucleotides) under uncultured bacterium. Its description in RNAcentral is "bacterial SSU rRNA". It matches the Rfam family "Bacterial small subunit ribosomal RNA", at positions 57 to 518 of the family's 1533-position model. The record is from RNAcentral.